AGAGCGAACGCUGGCGGCAGGCCUAAUACAUGCAAGUCGAACGGAUCCUUCGGGAUUAGUGGCGGACGGGUGAGUAACACGUGGGAACGUACCCUUUGGUUCGGAACAACUCAGGGAAACUUGAGCUAAUGCCGAAUGUGCCCUUCGGGGAAAAGAUUUAUCGCCAUUGGAGCGGCCCGCGUCUGAUUAGCUAGUUGGUAGGGUAAAGGCCUACCAAGGCUACGAUCAGUAGCUGGUCUGAGAGGAUGAUCAGCCACACUGGGACUGAGACACGGCCCAGACUCCUACGGGAGGCAGCAGUAGGGAAUCUUGCGCAAUGGGCGAAAGCCUGACGCAGCCAUGCCGCGUGAAUGAUGAAGGUCUUAGGAUUGUAAAAUUCUUUCAGCGGGACGAUAAUGACGGUACCGCAGAAGAAGCCCGGCUAACUUCGCGCCAGCAGCCGC
RNAcentral lists this ribosomal RNA (443 nucleotides) under uncultured bacterium. RNAcentral describes it as "SSU rRNA". It matches the Rfam family "Bacterial small subunit ribosomal RNA", at positions 26 to 518 of the family's 1533-position model. The record is from RNAcentral.